GCCCGGCUAGCUCAAUCGGUAGAGCGUGAGACUCUUAAAGAGGAGAAUUUCACUCAUCUCAAGGUUGUGGGUUCGACCCCCACGUCGGGCU
This is a non-coding RNA of Echria macrotheca, 91 nucleotides long. NCBI's taxonomy places the organism in Eukaryota, Fungi, Ascomycota, Sordariomycetes, Sordariales, Schizotheciaceae. The record is from the annotation of a GenBank genome assembly.